UCUUGACCUCGGAUCAGGUAGGGAUACCCGCUGAACUUAAGCAUAUCAAA
Molecule: ribosomal RNA, 50 nt
Filed under: Ascochyta rosae
Lineage: Eukaryota; Fungi; Ascomycota; Dothideomycetes; Pleosporales; Didymellaceae
Description: partial 28S ribosomal RNA
Source: RNAcentral